CUUCAUUUCGAACCUUAUUUCCAUCCAAGAUCAUCUCUCCCAUUUCACACAAUAUAUUUUCAUUGAAAUACGUAACCCUCAUUACGUAUUUCUUCAAUAUCGUAUUUCUUUGAACCAUAUUUCUGUGAACUUUCUGCGUUCCCUCUUUUCUUUACAUUUCAUCUUUCUUCGAACCAUUAUUCAGGUAUUGAUGUUAUAAAUUUUUUGUAAUCAUUAAAAUGCAUGUUGAGCUUUUUUAAGAUAUACUGAUACAUGUUGAGGUUGUUUAUAAUAAUGCAUGAUCCAUGUUGAGCUUGUUGAUGUUAUACUAAACUGCAUGUUGAACUUGUUGUAGUUAAAUGGAUACAAACAAAGAUAUAGAAGUUCAAAAUGAAGAAGUUGGCACCUCCAAGACUUAUGAAAAAGAAGUCAAACGUGGUGCAACUAUAAUGCAAAAGGUGAUUAAAGCAAGGAGUAGUGGGAUUAAAUUUGAGGUAUACUAUACUUUGUUUGCUGUGUGAUUUUUA
This 506-nucleotide long non-coding RNA is filed under the name Cicer arietinum (chickpea). RNAcentral's name for it is "long non-coding RNA (CARI_LNC001937)". Lineage: Eukaryota; Viridiplantae; Streptophyta; Magnoliopsida; Fabales; Fabaceae. The record is from RNAcentral.